RNAcentral lists this ribosomal RNA (447 nucleotides) under uncultured bacterium. Its description in RNAcentral is "bacterial SSU rRNA". It matches the Rfam family "Bacterial small subunit ribosomal RNA", at positions 331 to 792 of the family's 1533-position model. The record is from RNAcentral.
CCAGACUCCUACGGGAGGCAGCAGUGGGGAAUAUUGGACAAUGGGGGGAACCCUGAUCCAGCGACGCCGCGUGAGUGAAGAAGUAUUUCGGUAUGUAAAGCUCUAUCAGCAGGGAAGAAAGAAAUGACGGUACCUGACUAAGAAGCCCCGGCUAACUACGUGCCAGCAGCCGCGGUAAUACGUAGGGGGCGAGCGUUAUCCGGAUUUACUGGGUGUAAAGGGAGCGUAGACGGCAGCGCAAGCCUGGAGUGAAAGGAUGGGGCCCAACCCCAUGACUGCUCUGGGAACUGUGCGGCUAGAGUGCCGGAGGGGUAAGCGGAAUUCCUAGUGUAGCGGUGAAAUGCGUAGAUAUUAGGAGGAACACCAGUGGCGAAGGCGGCUUACUGGACGGUAACUGACGUUGAGGCUCGAAAGCGUGGGGAGCAAACAGGAUUAGAUACCCCGGUA